Mucidula mucida is the source of this 82-nucleotide non-coding RNA. The record is from the annotation of a GenBank genome assembly. NCBI's taxonomy places the organism in Eukaryota, Fungi, Basidiomycota, Agaricomycetes, Agaricales, Physalacriaceae.
GGCCUGAUGGUCUAGUAGUAUGAUUCCUUGUUAGGGUUCUAUCAUCUCGAGGAGGUCCCGGGUUCAAUUCCCGGUCAGGCCC